This 253-nucleotide ribosomal RNA is filed under the name uncultured prokaryote. RNAcentral's name for it is "partial 16S ribosomal RNA". It matches the Rfam family "Bacterial small subunit ribosomal RNA", at positions 524 to 776 of the family's 1533-position model. The record is from RNAcentral.
UACAGAGGGUGCAAGCGUUGUUCGGAAUUAUUGGGCGUAAAGGGCGCGUAGGCGGUGCCACAAGUCACCUGUGAAAUCUCCGGGCUUAACUCGGAAAGGUCAACUGAUACUGUGCGACUAGAGUGCGGAAGGGGCAACUGGAAUUCUCGGUGUAGCGGUGAAAUGCGUAGAUAUCGGGAGGAACACCCGUGGCGAAGGCGGCCAUCUGGACCAGCACUGACGCUGAGGCACGAAAGCGUGGGGAGCAAACAGG